UCGGGAAUUUUGGGCAAUGGGCGAAAGCCUGACCCAGCAACGCCGCGUGAAGGAUGAAGUAUUUCGGUAUGUAAACUUCGAAAGAAUAGGAAGAAUAAAUGACGGUACUAUUUAUAAGGUCCGGCUAACUACGUGCCAGCAGCCGCGGUAAUACGUAGGGACCAAGCGUUGUUCGGAUUUACUGGGCGUAAAGGGUGCGUAGGCGGCAUAUCAAGUCACUUGUGAAAUCUCCGGGCUUAACUCGGAACUGCCAAGUGAUACUGAUGUGCUAGAGUGCAGAAAGGGCAACUGGAAUUCUUGGUGUAGCGGUGAAAUGCGUAGAUAUCAAGAGGAACACCUGAGGCGAAGGCGAGUUGCUAGGCUGACACUGACGCUGAGGUACGAAAGCUAGGGGAGCGAACGGGAUUAGAUACCCACGUAGUCCCUGAGCGGGCUGGCAAGGCGCAU
RNAcentral lists this ribosomal RNA (447 nucleotides) under uncultured bacterium. RNAcentral's name for it is "bacterial SSU rRNA". It matches the Rfam family "Bacterial small subunit ribosomal RNA", at positions 355 to 825 of the family's 1533-position model. The record is from RNAcentral.